UUGCCCUAGUAACGGCGAGUGAAGCGGCAACAGCUCAAAUUUGAAAGCUGGCUCCGGCCCGCAUUGUAAUUUGCAGAGGAUGCUUUUGGUGAGGUGCCUUCCGAGUUCCCUGGAACGGGACGCCACAGAGGGUGAGAGCCCCGUAUGGAUGGACACCAAACCUGUGUAAAGCUCCUUCAACGAGUCGAGUAGUUUGGGAAUGCUGCUCAAAAUGGGAGGUAAAUCUCUUCUAAAGCUAAAUACCGGCCAGAGACCGAUAGCGCACAAGUAGAGUGAUCGAAAGAUGAAAAGCACCUUGAAAAGGGGGUUAAACAGUACGUGAAAUUGUUGAAAGGGAAGCGUUUGUGACCAGACUUGCGCCGGGCAGCUCAUCAGGGGUUCUCCCCUGUGCACUCUGCCCGGCUCAGGCCAGCAUCGGUUCUCGUGGGAGGAUAAGAACGGUAGGAACGUGGCCCCCUCUCGGGGGGGUGUUAUAGCCUGCCGUACGAUACUCCCGUGGGGACCGAGGUUCGCGCUCCGCAAGGAUGCUGGCGUAAUGGUCAUCAACGACCCGUCUUGAAACACGGACCAAGGAGUCGUCCAUUAGAGCGAGCGUUUGGGUGUCAAACCCGCACGCGUAAUGAAAGUGAACGCAGGUGAGAGCUUCGGCGCAUCAUCGACCGAUCCUGAUGUCCUCGGAUGGAUUUGAGUAAGAGUUUUAACGGACGGACCCGAAAGACAGUGAACUAUGCUUGUAUAGGGUGAAGCCAGAGGAAACUCUGGUGGAGGCUCGCAGCGGUUCUGACGUGCAAAUCGAUCGUCAAAUAUGAGCAUGGGGGCGAAAGACUAAUCCG
Molecule: ribosomal RNA, 833 nt
Filed under: Cytospora sp.
Lineage: Eukaryota; Fungi; Ascomycota; Sordariomycetes; Diaporthales; Cytosporaceae
Description: partial large subunit ribosomal RNA
Rfam family: Eukaryotic large subunit ribosomal RNA
Source: RNAcentral